UUUUUUUGUAUUUAGCCCCUCACAAAUUUAUUUUCACAAAUAGCCCCACAAAAUAUAUAAUUACAAAAUUGGCCCUAUUCCUACCAUGCCAGCGCCACGUCAGCGCCACAUCAGCGGGUGGUUGCGAAUAAGUUGAACACGAUGAACCAUUCACCGUGUCCAAACACGGUGAAUGGUUGACCAUGUUUAAUGUAUGGCCUCAGCCCUCUGCUCUUCCAAUUACGGAGAUAACAUGGAGAUCGCAAACACAGAUGAGUUCUACUAAACACGGUGAACUAUUCGCCGUAUUUGAAAAUGGUCAAUGGUUCACUGUGUUUGGACACGAUGAAUUUAUCGUGUCCAAACACAGUGAACUAUUCACCGUGUCUAAGGGCUAACUCACCAACAGCAUGUUGUUACAUUUAAAACAACAAAUUCAAUAAAACAACACAACAACACAACAUCAACAAGACAAUAGAACAUCUAAUAACAAAUCUAACACAACAACACAACAUCAACAAGACAAUAGAACAUCCGACAACAAAUCCAACACAGCAACAUAACAACACAACAUUGAGAGAACAACACAACAAUGGAAUAACUUUACGAAAUUUACAACACAACAAUAGACAAGUUUACAACACAACAAUAGCGAACAACACAACAAAAUUUACAAAAUGUAAUAUCUUGUCCUCCUCCUAGUCCCUCUCCCUCGACCAUGUCCACGUCUAUGUCCUAACCACGACCGCGACUAA
This 734-nucleotide long non-coding RNA is filed under the name Ananas comosus (pineapple). RNAcentral describes it as "long non-coding RNA (ACOM_LNC018194)". The record is from RNAcentral. Lineage: Eukaryota; Viridiplantae; Streptophyta; Magnoliopsida; Poales; Bromeliaceae.